Molecule: ribosomal RNA, 492 nt
Filed under: uncultured bacterium
Lineage: Bacteria
Description: partial 16S ribosomal RNA
Rfam family: Bacterial small subunit ribosomal RNA
Source: RNAcentral
AGUGAACGCUGGCGGUAGGCCUAACACAUGCAAGUCGAACGGCAGCACAGUAAGAGCUUGCUCUUACGGGUGGCGAGUGGCGGACGGGUGAGGAAUACAUCGGAAUCUACUUUUUCGUGGGGGAUAACGUAGGGAAACUUACGCUAAUACCGCAUACGACCUACGGGUGAAAGCAGGGGAUCUUCGGACCUUGCGCGAUUGAAUGAGCCGGUGUCGGAUUAGCUAGUUGGCGGGGUAAAGGCCCACCAAGGCGACGAUCCGUAGCUGGUCUGAGAGGAUGAUCAGCCACACUGGAACUGAGACACGGUCCAGACUCCUACGGGAGGCAGCAGUGGGGAAUAUUCGACAAUGGGCGAAAGCCUGAUCCAGCCAUACCGCGUGGGUGAAGAAGGCCUUCGGAUCGUAAAGCCCUUUUGUUGGGAAAGAAAAGCAGCAGGUUAAUACGCCGAUGUUCUGACGGUACCCAAAGAGUAAGCACCGGCUAACUUCGUG